AUUGUACAAUUGUACACACUUAUCACUUUAAAGCAAAAACAACAGUCAGUGUUAAACAUUCUAAAAAUUUUUAAAACGAUGAAUAUUUUUACAACAGUGUUGAUUUUAAGUUUGUGCAUCUUGCAACUUAGUUUUGCUCGCACCAACUUAAAAUGGACACUUAUGAAACCGCACCCUUGGCGAAAGGUUGGAAGGUGCUACCACGAAGAUUACGGCCACCUUUCCGUUGGAAAAACCGAAAUUGAAGGAAAAUGUAUGGCUUUGAGGUGCCACCCGGACGGCAGUGUCACACUUUUCGAGUGUGGCCCACGUAUUUUUAAGGGCAUGAGACGGUGUGUGAGGGAGAAACCACUAGAACCCUGGAAACCGUUCCGACAGUGUUGUCCAGUGCAUUGUCCAGAGAUGGGCAACCACUACAUGUAAUUAUUAGGCUAAAAGGGGUAUUGUACGUUUUUUAUGUAAAUAAAGGUGAAAGGUGGGCGUUUGUUUGUGUUCCAAAAAUAAAAAGUAAAAAAAUUAUGGCAGUUUCAGUAUUAAUUUUUCUCAUGUCAAAUCACGUACUUAAAAAACUUUAUUAAAACUUAUGGCUCACAAUCAAAUAUCUGGUGAUAACUUAUAUAAAGUUUUAAAUCUCUCUCAAAAAUUAUACACACAAGCCGAGCCAUGAAGCUGUUUUUGCCAAUCUUGUUCUUGAGUUUGUACACAUUCAAACUUAGUUUUGGCGCUGGUAAUGUAAAAUUCACUCUUCAUAAACCGCAUCCUUGGCGAAAGGUCGGAGGGUGCUAUUACGAGGAAUAUGGUCAUCUAAGGGUUGGGAUAACUGACCCUAAGGGGCAAUGUAUGGCUCUGAAGUGUCAUCCUGAUGGAAGUGUGACAGUAUUUGAAUGUGGUCCACGUAUCUUCAAAGGGCUUUGGCGAUGUAAGGAAAAACCGUUCGAGCCCUUGAAACCUUGGCGUGAGUGUUGUCCAAUACACUGUGCCGACAAAGACAACCACUACAUGUGAUUGUAAUUCUCUUCGUAUUCAAAUAAAUCAUUAAA
Tribolium castaneum (red flour beetle) is the source of this 1040-nucleotide RNA transcript. RefSeq lists it as hypothetical. Lineage: Eukaryota; Metazoa; Arthropoda; Insecta; Coleoptera; Tenebrionidae. The transcript is spliced from 5 exons. The record is from RefSeq and is a predicted model, not a curated record.